Molecule: transfer RNA, 52 nt
Filed under: Argas africolumbae
Lineage: Eukaryota; Metazoa; Arthropoda; Arachnida; Ixodida; Argasidae
Description: tRNA-Ser
Source: RNAcentral
AAGACCACAUUUAAGGCUGCUAACCUUAUGAUAAUGAUUUCAUUUGGUCUUU